CAAUAGCGUAUAUUAAAGUUGUUGCAGUUAAAAAGCUCGUAGUUGGAUUUGUGGCGUACGGUGGGUUCCGGGCACUUGUUGUCUGAGUAACUUGCUGUUGCCAUCCUUGGGUGGAACCUGUGUGGCAUUAGGUUGUCGUGCAGGGGAUGCCCAUCAUUUACUGUGAAAAAAUUAGAGUGUUCAAAGCAGGCUUAUGCCGUUGAAUAUAUUAGCAUGGAAUAAUGAGAUAGGACUUUUUUGCUAUUUUGUUGGUUUGCGCAAAGAGGUAAUGAUUAAUAGGGACAGUUGGGGGUAUUCGUAUUCCAUUGUCAGAGGUGAAAUUCUUGGAUUUUUGGAAGACGAACUACUGCGAAAGCAUUUACCAAGGAUGUUUUCAUUA
RNAcentral lists this ribosomal RNA (379 nucleotides) under uncultured eukaryote. RNAcentral's name for it is "partial 18S ribosomal RNA". It matches the Rfam family "Eukaryotic small subunit ribosomal RNA", at positions 592 to 975 of the family's 1831-position model. The record is from RNAcentral.